Molecule: long non-coding RNA, 370 nt
Organism: Bubalus bubalis (water buffalo)
Lineage: Eukaryota; Metazoa; Chordata; Mammalia; Artiodactyla; Bovidae
Exons: 3
Source: RefSeq, a predicted model, not a curated record
CACAGAUGCGGCCAGCAGGCAGGCAGUGGGUAAGUGGUGAGACCCCAGGCUGGCACCUGCUGCACACUCUGGCUGUUAUUCGGAAGUACACGGGUUAUUCUUCCUGCAGAUCAGCUUCAGAGUCUACUUUUUAAACUUUAAGCCAACCUUGUCCCCUAAACUGGGAUAUCACUGGAAUUACUUUAUGGAUGUAUUAACAUCUUUUCAAUACAGAGUCUUCUAAUUCAGAAACAAGGGAGAGGCACCAAGGAGGAACGACGUUCAGGUCUGGGGCUGACACUGCCCGUGCGGGAAGCUGCGCUCUGCCAAGAACGUGGUGCCGGCCUUCGCCAGUCCUGUAACCUUGGUCCACCCCUCGGUUUCCUCAUCC